Molecule: ribosomal RNA, 790 nt
Filed under: uncultured archaeon
Lineage: Archaea
Description: bacterial SSU rRNA
Rfam family: Archaeal small subunit ribosomal RNA
Source: RNAcentral
ACGGCUCAGUAACACGUGGAUAACCUGCCCUAAGGUGGAGGAUAACCCCGGGAAACUGGGGAUAAUACUCCAUAGGUUAAAGAUACUGGAAUGUUCUUUAGCCGAAAGUUCCGGCGCCUUAGGAUGGAUCUGCGGCCGAUUAGGUUGUUGUUGGGGUAGUGGCCCAACAAGCCUGUAAUCGGUACGGGUUGUGGGAGCAAGAGCCCGGAGAUGGAAUCUGAGACACGAUUCCAGGCCCUACGGGGCGCAGCAGGCGCGAAAACUUUACAAUGCAGGAAACUGUGAUAAGGGAACCCCGAGUGCCCGUAUAUGCGGGCUGUCCGGAUGUUUAAAACGCAUCCGAAGAAAGGGCCGGGCAAGACCGGUGCCAGCCGCCGCGGUAAUACCGGCGGCUCGAGUGGUGGCCACUUUUAUUGGGCUUAAAGCGUUCGUAGCUUGAAUAAUAAGUCUCUUGGGAAAUCUGCAGGCUUAACCUGCAGGCGUUUAAGAGAAACUGUUGUUCUAGGAACCGGAAGAGGUGAGAGGUACUCCGGGGGUAGGAGUGAAAUCCUGUAAUCCCCGGGGGACCACCGAUGGCGAAGGCAUCUCACCAGGACGGCUUCGACAGUGAGGAACGAAAGCUGGGGGAGCGAACCGGAUUAGAUACCCGGGUAGUCCCAGCCGUAAACGAUGUGCGUUAGGUGUGCCGGUGACCACGAGUCACUGGGGUGCCGAAGGGAAACCGUGAAACGUACCGCCUGGGAAGUACGGUCGCAAGGCUGAAACUUAAAGGAAUUGGCGGGGAAAGCAC